GCAAAAUGGAUACUUGGGUUCUUCCAAGUCAGUUGCUCCUCAUUGCACUGUGCACCUGCAAUGUCCUUUGCUUUCCUGCGAAAAAAGGCUGGCGCCAGCGUGAUCCUUAUGAAGGCAGUUUGUCUAACAUGGAGGGCCGUGCUAGCAUCCAUUAUCGCUCGACCCAAGGUGCUACUGCACAGCCUUCCAGUGUGAGUGACCCGGCUGUGGCGGACAAAGUGUAUUCGAGUCCUGGCGCCUAUCCAGCAAGCUCCAACCUUACUCCGGACUUGUCCAGUGAGGCUUCAUUGAAUGCUCCUCCUGUUUGGGAUCCUCUGGAAGAAUCUACAACCGCAUCCAGAUACACUCAGCCCACACCGCACCCUCCCCUUUUCCUUCAAGCAGGCGAGCCUGAACAC
Cyclopterus lumpus (lumpfish) is the source of this 398-nucleotide long non-coding RNA. RefSeq lists it as uncharacterized. Lineage: Eukaryota; Metazoa; Chordata; Actinopteri; Perciformes; Cyclopteridae. The record is from RefSeq and is a predicted model, not a curated record. The transcript has 3 exons.